CCACGGCCUCCGCCCUGGAGCCCCGCCGCCGCCUCUCCUCCACCCCCUCCUCGCGUCGCCAUGGCCUCCGCCUGCUAUUCCUCCUCCACCACGCUAGCCCCUCUACCUCAUCUUCCUUCUCUUCGUUGUCAAUGCGGCCGCAUCGACCGCUGGUUCCAGAUCGAGCGCGGGUUAGGCGAGCCCGGUGGUGGUGUGAAGGGGCAAGGGAAGAGGAGGUGGGGGACUAGGUGAAGGAGUAGGUCGGCCCUCCUGGAGGCGGUGCCGCCGCCCAGCCAGGGAGGAGGCCAGGCUCGCCUCUGUUUUUCCGUGAGCGGCGACAGCGCCUAUGCCUCCACCGCACCUUCUUUUCCAUGCUUCUUCCUUGGCAUGACAGGCAGAUUUUGGGGAGACCCCUUGAAUAAUAAUUCAAGUGGACGGCCGAUGCGCCUUGUUGUUUAGCGGUAUGAUCUAUGAUGGUCGGCGAAAGUAUGUUCUAUAUUGCAAGACUAUUGCCGCUGAUGUCAAGCCUCUCGAGAUCCGAGAGCCUCCUCCAACUUCCCCUCCCCACCAAGGAUGACGUAGUAACCGCACGUAGAAUUACCUACAACUUGAGUAGAUGCACAUUAUUCACUUCAUAUUCCAAUGGUUUUACUUCCACAUCACAUGUUUGUUUAUAUUAAAUCACAAAAAAUUCAUGAGCUUGCUUGGUUACUGUGGAGAAGGGCAUUCUUUCAAGGAGCUGUAGGUUUUUUGAAUAUGCUCCCUAUUGGACACUUUUUUUUGGUAUGUACAAGAUUUGUUGAGAAUGGGUGUGAGAAAAUUGACCAUCCGGUGGAUUUAUACGCACGGUACUCAGACAUGGUGAAAGCAAAGA
Molecule: long non-coding RNA, 853 nt
Organism: Triticum dicoccoides
Lineage: Eukaryota; Viridiplantae; Streptophyta; Magnoliopsida; Poales; Poaceae
Exons: 4
Source: RefSeq, a predicted model, not a curated record